RNAcentral lists this long non-coding RNA (505 nucleotides) under Medicago truncatula (barrel medic). Its description in RNAcentral is "lncRNA gene10088". Lineage: Eukaryota; Viridiplantae; Streptophyta; Magnoliopsida; Fabales; Fabaceae. The record is from RNAcentral.
UUUGCAAUUCUAUUAAGUCUAUGAAUCAAUGGUUGUAUUUAGCAUGAAUUAGGAUGAAUUUAAGAGGAAUCGAAAAUUAGGUCAAAUUGAGUGAAUUCAUGAUUAAACGGUGAAAAGUUGUUAGAUUGAUGUAGAAACUGUUCCUAGACCUUAGGUAAUGUGUAGGAUGAAUUAUGGAAUCAAUGUUAGGUUUAAAACCAUGAGAAAGGAUGAAUUUUCGUAAAACUGCACUUCUGCCCGAGCCUAUAUUCAUCGCUCGCCCUCGCGAACGAUGAUCCUCGCCUCGCGAGUGAUGAAGUUCAUCGCUCGCCACGCGAACCAAUUUCCCUCACCUCGCGAGUUGCACGUCGCAGCUAGCCACAGCGAACAACUGAACUCGCCAUAGCAAGCAUGACCAGAGAGCAUGCAAGAUUUCGUAAUUUUGACUUUUGAGUUGAACCUCAGAUGUUUUUAAGUGCCUGAAGAUGCUUAUUAAAAAUUAAAUGAUAACUUAGAAUGAGAUUGA